UGUUUCCAAAUUGACAAAUUCUCAAACUGUUAACAGCGUUUUCUGUGCUUGUGAACUUGCGAGUUCAUUCUUCCAAGAACAACCAGCAAGAACGUCCUCCCCAAGAAAACAAGUCCGUUCUUUGCAUUCUUGAGAUUGAGAAACAUCC
Long non-coding RNA from Sander lucioperca (pikeperch), 148 nucleotides. RefSeq lists it as uncharacterized. The record is from RefSeq and is a predicted model, not a curated record. Lineage: Eukaryota; Metazoa; Chordata; Actinopteri; Perciformes; Percidae. The transcript is spliced from 3 exons.